This 494-nucleotide ribosomal RNA is filed under the name uncultured bacterium. RNAcentral's name for it is "partial 16S ribosomal RNA". It matches the Rfam family "Bacterial small subunit ribosomal RNA", at positions 28 to 507 of the family's 1533-position model. The record is from RNAcentral.
GACGAACGCUGGCGGCGUGCUUAACACAUGCAAGUCGAACGGUGAAGCGCCUUCCUUUUUGGUGGGUGUGGAUGAGUGGCGAACGGGUGAGUAACACGUGAGUAACCUGCCCCCUUCUUCUGGAUAACCGCAUGAAAGUGUGGCUAAUACGGGAUAUUCUGGGUCUGUCGCAUGAUGGGUCUGGGAAAGAUAUUGUUUCGGUGGGGGAUGGGCUCGCGGCCUAUCAGCUUGUUGGUGGGGUGAUGGCCUACCAAGGCGGUGACGGGUAGCCGGCCUGAGAGGGUGGCCGGUCACACUGGGACUGAGACCCGGCCCAGACUCCUACGGGAGGCAGCAGUGGGGAAUAUUGCACAGUGGGCGCAAGCCUGAUGCAGCGACGCCGCGUGAGGGAUGGAGGCCUUCGGGUUGUGAACCUCUUUCGCCAGUGAAGCAGGCCUGCCUCGUUUGUGGGUGGGUUGACGGUAGCUGGAUAAGAAGCGCCGGCUAACUACGUG